UAUAUGUAGUGAAGCGUCGGACGAAAAAUCCUGUUGCGAGUGUGCGCUGGUUCAUGUCUAUUCUUUGUCCGUGUUUUCUUUUGUGCCUCAGGCCUCUUUUAGUCAUGUACUACCAGCCAGCCCAACAGAGGCGUCGCUAAGAAACUGGACAUCCGGACAACCGCUGCUGUAGCUUAUUGCAAGGCAGUGGGUUCAGCUCCUAUCGGCAGCAGGUUGUCGUUUAAUGUGAAUGGGAUACAUUUCCAGGUGGCUUCAUACAUCGGGCCAGGUAUUCUCUGUAAUAAUUCGAAAAUCAUGUGUAUGAUGGUGGGCCCUCAAACCGGCUCCCUUAGUGCAGCAGUCCAAUUCUUUACCCAGCAGUGGAACUCCUGCUACAUUGCGCCAAAAUUCCUACAAAGUGCAAAAUCUGCUACACACUGCUACAAAAGCAAGAUUUUGACGAAAAUUGCGCCUUCUCUAUGUCAGAAAGGGUCCAGGAGGGCUCUGUAUUGUCACAUAAUAGGGACGGCAAAGAACACAGUAGCAAAACUGUGAAUAAUGAAAGUAACUUGUUUUGGGCAAACCUGUACCCAUAAAAACAAGCUACACUUAAGCUCAACAAUAGCAGCAAACACGGUCAGCGAUCGUCAAAAUCUAAUCUGGUGGUUAAGCGCGCCAGCUUUUAUACAUGAGUCAUCCAAGGUUCCAGAGCAAUCGGUAGAGCCCGCGUGUUUUCUGGAAAGUUCUGCACAAUUCGCAUCACACAUGCAAUCAGAUUACACAAGUUUCGGUGACAACAGAGCAGAUAGAACCAUUGGUAACAUUUGAGAAACUUCCGAUACAUACGGGCGCAUCCUGCACUGAGCGAUAACAAUUGUUAGACGGUGAAAAGUGGUCACACAAUAAAGAUAAACAAGUAUGUGUCAAUGCCGCCCUCUCGAAAAGCAUCGUCCUGAUGCUACAAACAAAACAGGAGAGCAAAAACCAAAAGGACUCUUAUUAAACAAAAGUAACAAAACAACAAAAGAAACAGUUGAAAGUAACACAGUCCAAGGAAAAGAAAGUUCGAGGUUCAACUAAGCAAAGUCUCAAAGUUCGUUAGCGUUGGUAGAACGACUUAAGUCGCACAACAUGGACUAUUUCAGGUUAAAAGUUGCAUCAUGGUGAUAUCGAAAUGCCGUCUGCCACGACCUCAUAGUUGAGUGCGCCAAUGGUUAAGAUGAUCUUGUAGGGUCCGAAAUAGCGUCGCAAUAGUUUCUCUCCGAGUCCUCGUCGGUGUAUCAGGUUCCAUUCCACGUAGCGCCAUCGAAGAUUGUAGUGCCGGCUGUGAGUCCUUUGCUGGUUCUUGAUGAGCAGGCGGGCAAGCUUUCGGGCUCCUUCAGUUCAGUGGAGAUAGGCGGCGACAUCAACAUUUUCUUGGUCGGUGACGUGCAGCAGCAUGGCGUUGAGAGUGAUCGUCGGGGUCUUUCCAUAAACCAGCUUGAACGGCGUGAUCUGUGUUGCUUCUUGCACUGCCAUGUUGUAAGCAAAGGUGACAUACGGAAGCACGGCAUCCCACAUCUUGUGUUCACUGUCGAUGCACAUCGCUAACAUGCCAGCGAACGUCUUGUUCAGUUGUUCCGUUAGGUUUUUUGUCCGCAGGUGGUAUGCAGUGGUCCUCCAGUGACUUGUCUGGCUAUACUGCAGGAUGGCUUGAGUAAGCUCAGCAGUACAAACCAUUCCUCUGUCAGUAAUGAGGACUUCUGGCUCACCCUGUCACAGCAGGAUGCUGCAGCAGCAAAGCAGUACUUUCCCAGCUUGAGAGUGAGCCCUGACGUCAUGAUGGCCUCUAGUAUGGUCGCAAGCCACCUAAGAUGAUCGUCGAAAUUUCCUGCGAAGGCCUCACAAAAGCAACGAGUCUAGGCAUCGCUGUUGUCAAAGCAGCAUGCCACGGUCCUCUUGAGGUCGGUCAGGUCAGUGUUGCAGUGCAGUGCAGCUUGACUGUGGCUGACAAGUCUGUCGGGUGCUCCUUCAAAGCAGGCAGCGAGUCGAGGAGUGUGCAGACUACAGAGACUGUGCAUCAGUCGAGCUCCACGUCAGGUGACCCAGGAAGUUUACAGCAUACUGGAACCCCUGGGCUACCCACUGGAAUGCCGGGGUUACAUCACUGUGAAGGGCAAAGGGGACAUGCUCACUUAUUUCCUGACGGGCAGACGGAAGCCAGUGGCCGACUCCGGCAAUAACCAGCUGUAACACACCAUUUUCACUCCAAAGACCUUGCUUCAUGCGGGGCCAGCUGCCCCGCGUACAUACGUACGUGCAUAAAUAUGAGUUGUUUUUAAUUACCAUUGUUGCAAACGCCACACACAAAAUCUCCAGACAAGCCCAGGUGCCUGAGCUUUCACCCUGUUGCAACGAUAGACAUUACUAGAGAAACCCCAGAGUUGCUAUGUGUUCUUGUUUUAGGGUGUCGCGACAUUCUGCUAUUGUUUACAUUCCACUAUGUGUAAUAUAUGCCUUUUCUCUUUAGGUGUCAGCCCACACCCGUUUGUUCCGAUGUCACGGGCUUAGUCCCCUGUGCAUAAGACAUUCUUCAUGAGUAGUCUUGUGUUGGUAAAUUGCACCAUUUCUUCAAGAAUGUGUUAGUGCUUGGGUUUUAUUUCAGUUCUGUGGUGCUUUACUUGUUUUUGAGAGGACCAAUGUACAGCGAUCUGUGUGUGCCAACUGUGUAAGAGAAUUUGAGGGCAGUGAAGUGUGCAUGCAAGAAGAGGAGGCUUAAGAGAGUGUUAUUUGUAAACUGUCUGUAAUUCUUCUGAAGUCACUUUAGAAGUUGCAUUGGGACUUACAGCUGUUUGAAUUGCAUAUAUUACUUUUGAGGUCUCCAGCAGGAUUGAAGAAUGUUUUUGUUUCUGCUUCUUGGCAACCUGGGUAUGUCAAUGGGGGAAUAUUAUUUCUGCGCUGUUGAACCUUGCAUUAAAGUGGCAGAGGCACAGAGUUUUAUGAACAUUGCAAAGCUUUAACACACGAAGCUCUAAGUCUAUUAAUCUCAGUAAGGAAAAACUAGGUUGCGAAAAAGCAAGCUAGUAGCUUUGCUGUAUGACUACAGUCGCCGAACGUUUAUUCAGACCUCACGGGGACUGCGGAAAUGUCCAAAUAAACAGGUGUGUGAAAAAGCAGAUUAAGCAAAAAAAGAAGAAAUCCUUAGGAGAAUGUACCACCCACUUGGUCGCCAUAAAAUUGACCCAAUCGUAGUCCAUGUACCUGCUGCAACUGUGUGCCUGUUCGAAUGCAACUGAGUGUCUAUACCUGCACCUCUACUACACCAUAUUUAUGUUUUGGGGCAUAAUGUAUACUUGUCAUAAUAUAAACGAACAUCGAUAAUUUCUUAUAUCUAUAUUUAACCUGUCGGUCCUAACGUCGGUGUUUUGUUAAGUCAUGCAAACGAUGUCAAAGGUCAAAUGAUGUCUGUAAGGUCUCUUGUUUUUGUACAACCAUAUAUUUUCACUGUGUCCCUUUUUUCUAGUCAACAUCCAUCACCUGCUUUGUCUGAACUUGAAAUUACGCUAUAGAUCUGCCCUGUCAUUCUAGUCCUAGUAAGAAUGUCACUGGUGGGCAGGUUUUACGGGCCUGACACUGUCUGCUUUGUUUGAGUGAUUGGGUCAUUGUUUGCAGAGUACAAUUACUGAUUUGGUAUCUUCGUUUUCUUGGCUGUGAUUUGGCUUCAACUCCUUCAAAUGGAGUGUGUGCUGCUCUAUUUCAUCUAUAUGCUCUGGAUCUUAUUGAUUUACAGCAUUAAGUACAAAUCCUUUGCUGCCUGCACAAAUUCUUUACAUUUAUUUUACUACAUCCUUUGUAUUGCAUGUAAGAAGGACCAAGCUUUGAAUGUUGAAUGAUUCAUUUCAUGUUUAUAAAAGGAUAAGGCACUCUGUAGUGUUGCUGUAAUGCAACUACAAGUGUGCUGAAGAAGUUGAAGUAUGAACUAAACUUCUGAGGAUAGUUGAGGGCAUUCGCAGCGAUAAAGGUGUACUGUGUGACAAGAUGAAUCUCGAUGCUGGUGAUUCCAAAUGUGCCUAGUGGCUUUUCAUGUAGAUAAAAAAAAUAUGCUUAGUUUGUUGUGUGAUA
Molecule: RNA transcript, 4080 nt
Organism: Dermacentor andersoni
Lineage: Eukaryota; Metazoa; Arthropoda; Arachnida; Ixodida; Ixodidae
Source: RefSeq, a predicted model, not a curated record